CUUCUCUCUUUCUUCAAAAUUCCGAAGACUUCUUUCAAAAGAUAGAGAGGAAACGAGAAAAAAAAAAAUUAAGCUACAGUUUUCUGCUGAAUUUAAACUCCAGUCUAAAGACACUAUGCAAAUGGCUUAUGCUAAGAGGAAAAUACCCCUUCUCCCCCGACGAGAAGUGUAGAUGCAUCCAAAACCCCUCACCGCUUGUCUCUGCUGCCAGAGGCCCAGUACGGGCACAACUUGUGGUUAUGUUUUGGCUUGUUUCUUACCUCCGGGCCUUCUUUAUAGCUCUGCCCCCCACCCCACCAGCGGCGGCGCUCCCGCGGCGGCACCCAGGCCGCCUGUUGGCUGCGGCGCCCGGCCGGCUCGGCACACUCCCCGCGCCGCGGCGCACACGCGCGCCCCCGCCUCUUCCCGCCUGGGCCGCUCCGCCGGCGGCGGAGGCGGCGGUGAUGGUGGCAGGUAGCGAGCCAGCCGGCCUCGGUCCGGUAACCCAUGGCAACCGCCCUGGAUUGUCAAACCCAAAACAGAUCCACCCACUGAGGCGGCGGAGAAAAAGCGGUUCGGCGGGUGCAGCACUCAGGAAAUGAGGUGGCAAGCUAGACACACACCUACUUUGAGACAGGUGUGAGCUACCCUUCGGCAAAUGCCGCAGCAAUGAUUGCUGCAGGUAAGAUCCACUGAUGGGUGCUGAUGUCAGCAGACGAAGGUCUGAGGAAAAACGGGAUGUUUGUACA
RNAcentral lists this long non-coding RNA (728 nucleotides) under Camelus dromedarius (Arabian camel). Its description in RNAcentral is "lncRNA (ENSCDRG00005000896.1)". Lineage: Eukaryota; Metazoa; Chordata; Mammalia; Artiodactyla; Camelidae. The record is from RNAcentral.